RNAcentral lists this ribosomal RNA (502 nucleotides) under uncultured bacterium. Its description in RNAcentral is "bacterial SSU rRNA". It matches the Rfam family "Bacterial small subunit ribosomal RNA", at positions 17 to 518 of the family's 1533-position model. The record is from RNAcentral.
UCAUGGCGUCAGGAUGAACGCUGGCGGCGUGCUUAACACAUGCAAGUCGAGCGAAGCGCCCGAGUUGAUUCUUCGGAUUGAAACAAGGGAUGACUGAGCGGCGGACGGGUGAGUAACGCGUGGGUAACCUGCCUCAUACAGGGGGAUAACAGUUAGAAAUGACUGCUAAUACCGCAUAAGCGCACAGUACGGCAUCGUACAGUGUGAAAAACUCCGGUGGUAUGAGAUGGACCCGCGUCGGAUUAGCCAGUUGGCGGGGUAACGGCCCACCAAAGCGACGAUCCGUAGCCGGCCUGAGAGGGCGACCGGCCACAUUGGGACUGAGACACGGCCCAAACUCCUACGGGAGGCAGCAGUGGGGAAUAUUGCACAAUGGGGGAAACCCUGAUGCAGCGACGCCGCGUGAGUGAUGAAGUAUUUCGGUACGUAAAGCUCUAUCAGCAGGGAAGAAGACGACGGUACCUGACUAAGAAGCCCCGGCUAACUACGUGCCAGCCGCUGC